RNAcentral lists this non-coding RNA (31 nucleotides) under Rattus norvegicus (Norway rat). The record is from RNAcentral. Lineage: Eukaryota; Metazoa; Chordata; Mammalia; Rodentia; Muridae.
UAACAUGUCUCAGUGACAAUAAAUUAUCUGA